AUGACAACCAGCUGUUCAUAAUUAGUUCAUCAAGAAGGGCAGGGUAGUGGCUGCAUGUCAAGAGGUUGUAAGGUGCUUGAAUCAUUUGGUCAUCAGGUUGUUUGGGUCGAUACCACUGAAACAAUGCAUCGACCUCUGCCCAUAUAUCUAAGUGUCCUUUUGAUUGGCACUGUCUUUGCUGGAGGUUCCUGGUGUGACAACAUGGCAAGAGCCUGAGCAGCUGCCCUGGGUUUGGACCUCCUUAGGACCCAGUUUGUCCCUUACAAUCUUCGACCAACACGCCAUAGGCCAUCCAACUGACUGGGCCUAUGGACAAGUCUUUGCCAGAGGCUUUCAACCCAAACCGUCUACAUUAAACUAUCACGGUUCUGAUCCCAGUUUGGCUGACUCCUCUGUCAGGCAUUCUGUCUACACUCCCAAGGGAGAACUUGUUAGCAGCCACAAGCCCAACUUUGAGCAGGUCGAGAAUUCUGCGCCUCGAUCAAAUGUAAUGGUAGCCCCUGGUCAGUUUGAGUACUCGGAGAAAGCAGCCAUUCGAGGUUACUAUAAUCCUGUUGUAGUUCAGCCUGUCCCCAGCAGACGUAGAACAGCCCAGAGUGUGGUUUCGCGACCCCAGAGCA
Non-coding RNA from Salmo salar (Atlantic salmon), 620 nucleotides. The record is from RefSeq and is a predicted model, not a curated record. Lineage: Eukaryota; Metazoa; Chordata; Actinopteri; Salmoniformes; Salmonidae.